This 468-nucleotide ribosomal RNA is filed under the name uncultured bacterium. RNAcentral describes it as "partial 16S ribosomal RNA". It matches the Rfam family "Bacterial small subunit ribosomal RNA", at positions 28 to 507 of the family's 1533-position model. The record is from RNAcentral.
GACGAACGCUGGCGGCGUGCUUAACACAUGCAAGUCGAACGGAAAGGCCCUGCUUUUGUGGGGUGCUCGAGUGGCGAACGGGUGAGUAACACGUGAGUAACCUGCCCUUGACUUUGGGAUAACUUCAGGAAACUGGGGCUAAUACCGGAUAGGAGCUCCUGCUGCAUGGUGGGGGUUGGAAAGUUUCGGCGGUUGGGGAUGGACUCGCGGCUUAUCAGCUUGUUGGUGGGGUAGUGGCUUACCAAGGCUUUGACGGGUAGCCGGCCUGAGAGGGUGACCGGCCACAUUGGGACUGAGAUACGGACCAGAAUCCUACGGGAGGCAGCAGUGGGGAAUAUUGCACAAUGGGCGGAAGCCUGAUGCAGCAACGCCGCGUGCGGGGAGAAGGCCUUCGGGUUGUAAACCGCUUUCGCCUGUGACGAAGCGUGAGUGACGGUAAUGGGUAAAGAAGCACCGGCUAACUACGUG